Molecule: microRNA precursor, 70 nt
Filed under: Calypte anna (Anna's hummingbird)
Lineage: Eukaryota; Metazoa; Chordata; Aves; Apodiformes; Trochilidae
Description: mir-137 microRNA precursor family
Rfam family: mir-137 microRNA precursor family
Source: Rfam by way of RNAcentral
UUCGGCCACGGGUAUCCUCGGGCGGAUAACACGGAGCCGCUGUUAUUGCUUGAGAAUACGCGUAGCCGAG